CAUUACGAUCAUACUACGUUGAAAACACCGCAACCCGUCUGAUCUGCAAAGCUAAGCAACGUUAGGCUAUGUUAGUACCAUGGUUGGAGACAACAUGGGAACAUUCGGUGUCGUAGGAU
Molecule: ribosomal RNA, 119 nt
Filed under: Trichuris muris
Lineage: Eukaryota; Metazoa; Nematoda; Enoplea; Trichinellida; Trichuridae
Source: RNAcentral